RNAcentral lists this ribosomal RNA (453 nucleotides) under uncultured archaeon. Its description in RNAcentral is "partial 16S ribosomal RNA". It matches the Rfam family "Archaeal small subunit ribosomal RNA", at positions 330 to 747 of the family's 1478-position model. The record is from RNAcentral.
GUGCAGCAGGCGCGAAAACUCCGCAAUGCGCGAAAGCGUGACGGGGGAACCCCAAGUGCCGUUGGUCUUUUGAUCGACGGCUUUUGUGGAGUGUAAGAAGCUCCACGAAUAAGGGCUGGGUAAGUCGGGUGCCAGCCGCCGCGGUAAUACCCGCAGCCCAAGUGGUGGUCGCGAUUAUUGGGCCUAAAGCGCUCGUAGCCGGGUUGGCAAGUCCCUUGUGAAAUCGGGCGGCCCAACCGUUCGGCUGGCAAGGGAUACUGCCAGCCUUGAGGCCGGGAGACGUCAGGGGUACUCCGGGGGUAGCGGUGAAAUGCUCUGAUCCUCGGGGGACCACCAGUGGCGAAGGCGCCUGACGAGAACGGACCUGACGGUGAGGGGCGAAAGCUGGGGGAGCGAACGGGAUUAGAUAUGAAGUUGAGUUUUUGCCAGCUUCACUAGAUACCCCCGUAGUCC